RNAcentral lists this ribosomal RNA (116 nucleotides) under Danio rerio (zebrafish). The record is from RNAcentral. Lineage: Eukaryota; Metazoa; Chordata; Actinopteri; Cypriniformes; Danionidae.
UGUCACAGCUCUAUCACCCUGUAGCCCAAUACGGUCACUCACUGAAGCUAUGCAGGGCUGCAUCUGGUCAGUACCUGUAUGGGAGACCACAUGAGAAAACUAGGUUGCAGUUGGAA